Molecule: unclassified non-coding RNA, 306 nt
Filed under: plant metagenome
Description: partial contains 5.8S ribosomal RNA, internal transcribed spacer 2, and large subunit ribosomal RNA
Rfam family: 5.8S ribosomal RNA (bases 1-105)
Source: RNAcentral
GAAAUGCGAUAAGUAAUGUGAAUUGCAGAAUUCAGUGAAUCAUCGAAUCUUUGAACACACAUUGCGCCCGCCAGUAUUCUGGCGGGCAUGCCUGUCCGAGCGUCAUUUCAACCAUCAAGCCCCCGGGCUUGUGUUGGGGACCUGCGGCUGCCCGCAGGCCCUGAAAACCAGUGGCGGGCUCGCUGUCACACCGAGCGUAGUAGCAAUCACCUCGCUCAGGGCGUGCUGCGGGUUCCGGCCGUUAAACAGCCUUACAAAACCCAAGGUUGACCUCGGAUCAGGUAGGAAGACCCGCUGAACUUAAGC